UGUCCCAGACUGCAUCCCUGCUGAGAGUCCCUCCCUCCCUUCUCAUGUUGCAGGAAGAACGUAAGCGCCCGCCCCUUGUCAAUCAGUCACCAUAUAACUUUGGAUUGGUUGUUGUGGUGAAGUUUUCCACCAAUAGGAGAGAUGUUGUGGUGUGUUUUUUUUUUCUUUUGGCAAGCCUUUUCCGCCUGUAAGACCUGUCGCUAAUGUCUGCAUGCUAUGUUUUCCUGUCUCAUACAGCGCGAUCGAGCGCCGAACGUGAUCAAAAUAAGCAGAAAAAAAGUAUCGCGGACAUAAUUUAUCAUAACUCUGGUUUUAUUUGGCCUAUCAACACAAUUUAAAAACUGGUAUAUAGGUUGAGGUCCUCACUUUUGAGAUAAGUUGAAACGGAGAGUCAACGAGGCUCCGUCUUGCAGCUACAUCCGGUUAAAUAUGUCAUGUGACUUGAACGCACACACAGACACACACACACGCACACACGCACACACACACACGCACACACACACACACACACACUCAGAGUCUGGUUUUUAGCACCUGCAAAAACAUGCUAUUUACAUAUUUGACAAGAAUGCAGAGGCUCCUUUUGCCCCUGAAAAAAAUCAAAUUUCAAACACAACUUGACUGGUCAUUUCUCCAAAAGACAACCAUGAAGCUCCAUCCAAACCUGAAGCAGGCAGUUGGUGCAUGUGUACAGUAACCUGAGGGGAGUGAGGUGAGUGCUUCUGAGGAGAACAUGAGCAGUGAAGAUUCACCUUGGAGCUAGAACAGAGACAUGCACAUGAUUAUACAGGGGCAGGGGCUCAAGUUUUUUCCAGUCGUUUAUACAAUAUGGAAAUUAAUGUGAAAUUAAAACACAAAGUAUUAAUAGAAAGGUAAUGACUGUCCUGUGUAGGUGACAGUGAUAUCCAAUAGGCUAGGCACUCACGAGGCUGGCUGUGGCAAGUGUAAGUGAAAGCAACACGCACUGGCAGCAAGAACAGCAAACGCCGAUGAAGGAAAAGGGUCUUUGCAGUGAUGGGCGUUACCAGAGAGGGCGAUGGCCAGAGGACACAAAUGGGACGGGAAGGCAGCACGUUGGGGGGGGGGGGACGCGACACGGCUCGGGCCCGCCAGUGCCCCAACGGGGUCCUAGUUAUUUUUCCUCCCCUUUGAACUGGAAAAUGGCCCACUUCCCACUGGCGAAAACUCAUGAAAUUUGGCAGGACGACCGGGCCUGGUGAAAAAUUUGAUAUUCCGAAGUCGCCCAAACAAGAAAAUGCAAAAUGGCUCCAUAGCGCCCCCUAAGGUGAAAAUUCACACUAUUCACUGUCACGCCUGUACGCUUUGUCAAAAUGACACAAAAAUUGACACACACAUGUAUCUCAAUAAGAUCUACAAAAAAGUCAGUGCGGGCGUAUCUGUCAAAUGUACGGUUAAAGGGUUAUUUCGCAUUUUUUGCCGAUCCGCACACAUUGGAAUUUCACUAACUCCUCCGAAGGCUUUCGUUCCACCAGCACCACAUUUGCUCAGGCCAAUCUACACCCCAUGGCCAUUAAAAGUUAUUCAAAUCAUGACGCUGCACCCCACGGUUUAGGUUCUAGGGGGCGCCAAAGAUAACCCUAAGAUCCACAUAUUUAAAAGUCUUAUAACUUUUUAUUUUUGCCCUCACUGGCCUCCAAGUUUUCUAGGAUGAUGCAAUGUCCAGCCAUCAACACAUUUGUGAAGGAAUUUUUACUCCCCAAAAGAGCGCCCCCCCAUGGCAGGAGAAAAAAGUCCAUUUUUUCUUGUCCCCUAAGGUGAAAAUAAACAUUGUUGAGUGUAACACCUGUACGCUUUGGCAAAAUGACACAAAAAUUGACACACACAUGUAUCUCAAUAAGAUCUACGAAAAAGUCAAUGCGCGCGUAUCUGUCAAAUGUACAGUUAAAGGGUUAUUCCGCAUUUUUUGCCGAUCCGCACACAUUGGAAUUUCGCUAACUCCUCCGAAGGCUUUCGUUCCACCGGCACCACAUUUGCUCAGGCCAAUCUACACCCCAUGGCCAUUAAAAGUUAUUCAAAUCAUGAUGCUGCACCCCACGGUUUAGGUUCUAGGGGGCGCCAAAGAUAACCGUAAAAUCCACAUAUUUAAAAGUCUUAUAACUUUUUAUUUUUGUCCCCACUGGCCUCCAAGUUUUCUAGGAUGAUGCAAUGUCCAGCCAUCAACACAUUUGUGAAGGAAUUUUUACUCGCCAAAAGAGCGCCCCCCCAUGGCAGGAGAAAAAGUCCAUUUUUUCUUGUCCACUAAGGUGAAAAUACACAUUGUUGAGUGCUACGCCUGUAUGUUUUGUCGUAUUGACACAAAAUUUUACAUACACGUGUAUUUCAAUAAGAUCUUCGAAAAAGUCAAUGGCCACGUAUCUGUAAAAUGUACGGUUAAAGGGUUAUUUCGCAUUUUUUGCAGAUUCGCACACAUUGGAAUUUCGCUAACUCCUCCGAAGGCUUUCGUUCCACCGGCACCACAUUUGCUCAGGCCAAUCUACACCCCAUGGCCAUUAAAAGUUAUUCAAAUCAUGACGCUGCACCCCACGGUUUAGGUUCUAGGGGGCGCCAAAGAUAACCCUAAGAUCCACAUAUUUAAAAGUCUUAUAACUUUUUAUUUUUGCCCUCACUGGCCUCCAAGUUUUCUAGGAUGAUGCAAUGUCCAGCCAUCAACACAUUUGUGAAGGAAUUUUUACUCCCCAAAAGAGCGCCCCCCCAUGGCAGGAGAAAAAAGUCCAUUUUUUCUUGUCCCCUAAGGUGAAAAUAAACAUUGUUGAGUGUAACACCUGUACGCUUUGGCAAAAUGACACAAAAAUUGACACACACAUGUAUCUCAAUAAGAUCUACGAAAAAGUCAAUGCGCGCGUAUCUGUCAAAUGUACAGUUAAAGGGUUAUUCCGCAUUUUUUGCCGAUCCGCACACAUUGGAAUUUCGCUAACUCCUCCGAAGGCUUUCGUUCCACCGGCACCACAUUUGCUCAGGCCAAUCUACACCCCAUGGCCAUUAAAAGUUAUUCAAAUCAUGACGCUGCACCCCACGGUUUAGGUUCUAGGGGGCGCCAAAGAUAACCCUAAAAUCCACAUAUUUAAAAGUCUUAUAACUUUUUAUUUUUGUCCUCACUGGCCUCCAAGUUUUCUAGGAUGAUGCAAUGUCCAGCCAUCAACACAUUUGUGAAGGAAUUUUUACUCCCCAAAAGAGCGCCCCCCCAUGGCAGGAGAAAAAAGUCCAUUUUUUCUUGUCCCAUAAGGUGAAAAUACACAUUGUUGACUGUCAUACCUGUAUGCUUUGUCAUAUUGACACAAAAUUUGACACACACAUGUAUCUCAAUAAGAUCUACGAAAAAGUCAAUGCGCGCGUAUCUGUAAAAUGUACGGUUAAAGGGCUAUUUUGCAUUUUUUGCCGAUUAGCACACAUUGGAAUUUCGCUAACUCCUCCGAAGGCUUUCGUUCCACCGGCACCACAUUUGCUCAGGCCAAUCUACACCCCAUGGCCAUUAAAAGUUAUUCAAAUCAUGACGCUGCACCCCACGGUUUAGGUUCUAGGGGGCGCCAAAGAUAACCCUAAGAUCCACAUAUUUAAAAGUCUUAUAACUUUUUAUUUUUGCCCUCACUGGCCUCCAAGUUUUCUAGGAUGAUGCAAUGUCCAGCCAUGAACACAUUUGUGAAGGAGUUUUUUCUCGUUAAAAGGAAUUUUUACUCCCCAAAAGAGCGCCCCCCCAUGGCAGGAGAAAAAAGUCCAUUUUUUCUUGUCCCCUAAGGUGAAAAUACACAUUGUUGAGUGUCACGCCUAUAUGCUUUGUCAAAAUGACACAAAAAUUGACACACACAUGUAACUCAAUAAAAUCUACGAAAAAGUCAAUGCGCGCGUAUCUGUCAAAUGUACGGUUAAAGGGUUAUUCCGCAUUUUUUGCCGAUCCGCACACAUUGGAAUUUCGCUAACUCCUCCGAAGGCUUUCGUUCCACCGGCACCACAUUUGCUCAGGCCAAUCUACACCCCAUGGCCAUUAAAAGUUAUCAAAAUCAUGACGCUGCACCCCACGGUUUACGUUCUAGGGGGCGCCAAAGAUAACCCUAAAAUCCACAUAUUUAAAAGUCUUAUAACUUUUUAUUUUUGUCCUCACUGGCCUCCAAGUUUUCUAGGAUGAUGCAAUGUCCAGCCAUCAACACAUUUGUGAAGGAAUUUUUACUCCCCAAAAGAGCGCCCCCCCAUGGCAGGAGAAAAAAGUCCAUUUUUUCUUGUCCCUUAAGGUGAAAAUACAUAUUGUUGAGAUUCACGCCUAUACGCUUUGUCAUAUUGACACAAAAUUUGAUAAUCACGUGCCUUGCCUGGUAUCAUUUUUUUCAGCACAACCUCACCUGUGCGAAUUUACAGUUAUUUUAUCAUGUUGACAUACUGAAUUUACACAAUGGACCCAAAUUCACACACAAAACAUAAAAUCCGAGUGGAAAAAAGUAACAUUUUUACUGUGAAAACCACAAAUAUGUGUGAUGAACUGUUUUUAAAACUUAAACUUCAAAUAAAAAUUGUAAACUUCAAAACAUAUGCAAAUUUUUAACAAAGAACAUAGUGAUUUACCUCUAUUUACAUCAAAAUGCAGGCAAUGGCCCAGGCGUUCUUUGUAAAAUUAUUUACAAAACACUGUAUAGUCUCACAAAUGUCACUUUUUAUUUAUGCCACUACAAAAAAACAUGAUGUAAAUGAUGCAUGAUGUAAAACAUGAUGUAAAAAACUUGUGUAGAUCCUCCUCUAUGUCAGUCCAUGUGUAAUUUUUCCAUAAUUCUUUGUUUUUUGCAGCAUUUUUGUUAGUGUAACUGCAGAUUGUGCUGACAGUGUCUAUGGCACAAAAAAAAAAAAAAAAUUAAAAUGCCUCAACAUGAACCCCUGGUGGUCUCUGAGGGUGAAACCUGCUAACUGCUGCAGCUCUGUCAGCUUCAGUCUCCCAUGCAGAGCUCUGAGCGCAUGUGUGGCUCUGCACCCUUAGCAGCGUUGCUAACUCCUCAGUAAGGAAAGCCUGCUUCAUGUCAGAGUCUCUAAACUCCAGAAGAAGUCGAUAAAAGUCCCUUUCUUUCUAAAAAAAAAGUCGUUAGGGGGUCUGAAAAGUCAUUGAAUCUAACAACAAAGUCGCUAGGUUUGCAACUACGUGUCCCAGACUGCAUCCCUGCUGAGAGUCCCUCCCUCCCUUCUCAUGUUGCAGGAAGAACGUAAGCAUAUAAUUUUGGAUUGGUUGUUGUGGUGAAGUUUUCCACCAAUAGGAGAGAUGUUGUGGUGUGUUUUUUUUUUCUUUUGGCAAGCCUUUUCCGCCUGUAAGACCUGUCGCUAAUGUCUGCAUGCUAUGUUUUCCUGUCUCAUACAGCGCGAUCGAGCGCCGAACGUGAUCAAAAUAAGCAGAAAAAAAGUAUCGCGGACAUAAUUUAUCAUAACUCUGGUUUUAUUUGGCCUAUCAACACAAUUUAAAAACUGGUAUAUAGGUUGAGGUCCUCACUUUUGAGAUAAGUUGAAACGGAGAGUCAACGAGGCUCCGUCUUGCAGCUACAUCCGGUUAAAUAUGUCAUGUGACUUGAACGCACACACAGACACACGCACACACACACACACACUCAGAGUCUGGUUUUUAGCACCUGCAAAAACAUGCUAUUUACAUAUUUGACAAGAAUGCAGAGGCUCCUUUUGCCCCUGAAAAAAAUCAAAUUUCAAACACAACUUGACUGGUCAUUUCUCCAAAAGACAACCAUGAAGCUCCAUCCAAACCUGAAGCAGGCAGUUGGUGCAUGUGUACAGUAACCUGAGGGGAGUGAGGUGAGUGCUUCUGAGGAGAACAUGAGCAGUGAAGAUUCACCUUGGAGCUAGAACAGAGACAUGCACAUGAUUAUACAGGGGCAGGGGCUCAAGUUUUUUCCAGUCGUUUAUACAAUAUGGAAAUUAAUGUGAAAUUAAAACACAAAGUAUUAAUAGAAAGGUAAUGACUGUCCUGUGUAGGUGACAGUGAUAUCCAAUAGGCUAGGCACUCACGAGGCUGGCUGUGGCAAGUGUAAGUGAAAGCAACACGCACUGGCAGGAAGAACAGCAAACGCCGAUGAAGGAAAAGGGUCUUUGCAGUGAUGGGCGUUACCAGAGAGGGCGAUGGCCAGAGGACACAAAUGGGACGGGGAGGCAGCACGUUGGGGGGGGGACGCGACACGGCUCGGGCCCGCCAGUGCCCCAACGGGGUCCUAGUUAUUAUUUUUCCUCCCCUUUGAACUGGAAAAUGGCCCACUUCCCACUGGCGAAAACUCAUGAAAUUUGGCAGGACGACCGGGCCUGGUGAAAAAUUUGAUAUUCCGAAGUCGCCCAAACAAGAAAAUGCAAAAUGGCUCCAUAGCGCCCCCUAAGGUGAAAAUUCACACUAUUGACUGUCACGCCUGUACGCUUUGUCAAAAUGACACAAAAAUUGACACACACAUGUAUCUCAAUAAGAUCUACAAAAAAGUCAGUGCGGGCGUAUCUGUCAAAUGUACGGUUAAAGGGUUAUUUCGCAUUUUUUGCCGAUCCGCACACAUUGCAAUUUCGCUAACUCCUCCGAAGGCUUUCGUUCCACCGGCACCACAUUUGCUCAGACCAAUCUACACCCCAUGGCCAUUAAAAGUUAUUCAAAUCAUGAUGCUGCACCCCACGGUUUAGGUUCUAGGGGGCGCCAAAGAUAACCCUAAGAUCCACAUAUUUAAAAGUCUUAUAACUUUUUAUUUUUGCCC
Molecule: long non-coding RNA, 6725 nt
Filed under: Xyrichtys novacula (pearly razorfish)
Lineage: Eukaryota; Metazoa; Chordata; Actinopteri; Labriformes; Labridae
Source: RNAcentral